AACGAACGCUGGCGGCAUGCCUAACACAUGCAAGUCGAACGAGACCUUCGGGUCUAGUGGCGCACGGGUGCGUAACGCGUGGGAACCUGCCCUUAGGUUCGGAAUAACUCCCCGAAAGGGGUGCUAAUACCGGAUAAUGUCUUCGGACCAAAGAUUUAUCGCCUUUGGAUGGGCCCGCGUUGGAUUAGCUAGUUGGUAGGGUAAAAGCCCACCAAGGCGACGAUCCAUAGCUGGUCUGAGAGGAUGAUCAGCCACACUGGGACUGAGACACGGCCCAGACUCCUACGGGAGGCAGCAGUGGGGAAUCUUGGACAAUGGGCGAAAGCCUGAUCCAGCAAUGCCGCGUGAGUGAUGAAGGCCUUAGGGUUGUAAAGCUCUUUUACCCGGGAUGAUAAUGACAGUACCGGGAGAAUAAGCUCCGGCUAACUCCGUG
This 433-nucleotide ribosomal RNA is filed under the name uncultured bacterium. RNAcentral's name for it is "partial 16S ribosomal RNA". It matches the Rfam family "Bacterial small subunit ribosomal RNA", at positions 29 to 507 of the family's 1533-position model. The record is from RNAcentral.